This 163-nucleotide small nuclear RNA is filed under the name Myotis davidii. RNAcentral describes it as "U1 spliceosomal RNA". It matches the Rfam family "U1 spliceosomal RNA". From Rfam's summary of the family: U1 is a small nuclear RNA (snRNA) component of the spliceosome (involved in pre-mRNA splicing). Its 5' end forms complementary base pairs with the 5' splice junction, thus defining the 5' donor site of an intron. The record is from Rfam by way of RNAcentral. Lineage: Eukaryota; Metazoa; Chordata; Mammalia; Chiroptera; Vespertilionidae.
AUACUUACCUGGCAGGGGAGAUACCAUGAUCACGAAGGUGGUUCCCCAGGGUGAGGCUUAUCCAUUGCACUCUGGAUGUGCUGACCACUGCAAUUUCCCCAAAUGUGGGAAACUCAACUGCAUAAUUUGUGGUAGUGGGGGACUGCAUUUGUGCUCUCCCGUA